UUCAGAGGUCUCAAGCGUUGUUCGGAUUCAUUGGGCGUAAAGGGUGCGUAGGUGGCUGCGUAAGUCGGGUGUGAAAUCCCGGGGCUCAACCCCGGAACUGCACUCGAUACUGCGUGGCUUGAGUACUGGAGAGGAGAUUGGAAUUUACGGUGUAGCAGUGAAAUGCGUAGAUAUCGUAAGGAAGACCAGUGGCGAAGGCGGAUCUCUGGACAGUUACUGACACUGAGGCACGAAGGCCAGGGGAGCAAACGGG
This 253-nucleotide ribosomal RNA is filed under the name uncultured bacterium. Its description in RNAcentral is "partial 16S ribosomal RNA". It matches the Rfam family "Bacterial small subunit ribosomal RNA", at positions 524 to 776 of the family's 1533-position model. The record is from RNAcentral.